AUAUUCCCAUGAGAGUGAGACUGAAUAACUGAUAAAAUCUCAUCGAUGAUAACUCUUGGCAUACAUAUGAAAUUAAUUCAACUUUGGCGUGAUAAGCAUUUCUUCAAGGCCAUAGUAUUAGGCAAUUGAUAGUGUAAUAGAUUUUUCAGAAGAUUAGAAGCAGAGAAGGGCUUUGAAAUAGAAAACAACUUUAUCAAAUCGUGGACAGACAAUAAAACUUGUAUGGGUAGGGUUUGCAGUAGGAUAAAUCCUUGUUUGGGACUAGGAUAAAUCUCUUGUCUGAUAAAAAUGCAACUAAUGCAAUGCUCUAGUGGGGCAUAGGUCUAUGAGAGAAAUCAAAUUUGUCAUUGUGUGAACAAUGCUUAUUUUUCCUAUUGACAUUCUUAUCCAUGAUACUCCUUCCAUCCUUAUUUGAUAGCCAUUGAUGUGUUUAAAGAUACAGGAAUUUAUUGCCCAUCAGGAAAUAACCUGAUUCUAGUAGAUAGCACACUUACAAACUUUAAAUUCUUGGUAUUAUAUUGAUUGUAUGAAUUAGGUUUGGUCAGAUAUAAACAAGCCAAAGGGACAAUUUAUUUUGCCAAAUGAUCGAUUGGCUGUGAUGACAUUCAUAUCCUCCCUCCCGAUAAGAAAGGUACCUCUGUUAUGAGUCUUGUCUUUGUUCUUUGCUUUUGUAUAGAAGGCUAAGAAGGGGUUCCUCAAGUUUGGUAGUAAUUGAGAAAUGUAAAACCAAUUAAAUAGUCUGGUGUAUGCUAACUUGUGUUCAUCAAUUCAUUUCUUUAUGCUUUAUGAACAGAUUGGAGGCAUUGGCAAGGUUACCGAGCAUAUCCUAAGGAAUACUUUUGAAAUAAAUACAUGCAAGGAUUUGCUUGAGAAAGGCAGUUUUCUCUGUGCCUUGUUUUCUCCUUCAUCUGCAGGACACUGAUUACCUUGUGGUUUUUCUUAUCUUUGAAUCUUUAAAGUCGUAUCAUUAAUUCUCUUAUGAAUGAUUUAGCUGUGUGGUAGCCAAGAUUUUCCAGAGGUCUCUUCUGUAUUCUUCUUGUGCCAUUGUAUAAUACAAGAGUGUGCUUCUUGAGCUUACUAGUGUCCAGGCUCGAAGGAGAGGGAAGCGAGCUAUAGAGUUGGGAAAAAGGUGGAAGAUGUCCUAGCUGAUCAAGAUAAGAAUGGACAGAAUACUCUGCUGAACUUUGUGGAGGAACCCAUAUAUCUAAUUUAAGAGAAGCCAAGGCAUUUGCUUUUUUUAUCUUAGCAGGGGAUUGCCAAAGGAAUUCGUAGAGUGACUGUUGUUACGUCUGAGGUUGCGUUGAAUGCAAUUAAUUUGGCAUGCUCCCUCGAGCGACAAUUGAUUGAUGCAUCAAACAUAGAUGCAAGCGUGGUGGAGAAAGUUAGUUUGGGAUAUUGUUCUAUUUUUUCUUCAACACUAGCAAUUUUAGAGAUUACAGCUUGUAGAUGACUGACUUAUUAGUUUGGUUGUUUUGACUCACAUUGAAUUUGUUUAUUAUAAAUUUUUUGUGAUUGAUUACGUUUAAUUAAUAUAAAUUUAGUGUAUUAU
This is a long non-coding RNA of Spinacia oleracea (spinach), 1549 nucleotides long. RefSeq lists it as uncharacterized. The transcript is spliced from 3 exons. NCBI's taxonomy places the organism in Eukaryota, Viridiplantae, Streptophyta, Magnoliopsida, Caryophyllales, Amaranthaceae. The record is from RefSeq and is a predicted model, not a curated record.